Nelumbo nucifera (sacred lotus) is the source of this 1781-nucleotide long non-coding RNA. RefSeq lists it as uncharacterized. The record is from RefSeq and is a predicted model, not a curated record. Lineage: Eukaryota; Viridiplantae; Streptophyta; Magnoliopsida; Proteales; Nelumbonaceae.
CAAAUGGCGUAAAACAAGAAAACUACCUUUGCUUUUGUUCAAAACACAGAGACGAGUGAAAUACAAACACGAGUCUUAAAGAGAGUCGAAAGGGGCCGUAAAGAGUCUAAUAUUAAUCUGCCUUCCCUCAUGCUUCACGAGUCGAGGCACAAAACCUCGCGUCAAGUGUAGUCUACGGAGCCUGACUACAGGCCGUUUACGGAAUGACUUAAGGACUCUGCAUGAGUCUUAAAGCAGCGAGUUCAGUGCGUAAGACCCUUUAGAGAGAGGGUCGUUAGAGAAGAACGGGCCAUCUGGUGGUUGAAAGUCAAGCUCACAAUGCAGCUGUUAUGGGUCAUCUGGUGGUUGAAAGUCUAGUUUUUGACAUAAUUGAAUGGUUUUUUUCUAUUUUUUAAAUUGACAGCUCUCGUCUUUCUAUUGCUUGAAACCUUUUAAUUCAUUUAGGGUUUUUAAAUUGAGGUCGGUUAAUGGUUUCUUCGAGCAAGCAAGUAGAUCUGAAAUCUACAGAAAUCUGUACAGUCUGUUCGUAGCUUCUGGUUUGUGUUAACGAUGUUUGUAUGUGACUGUCUAACAGGUCUACAAUUUGGAGAUGCUGCUGCUGCAAGCGCCCAGCCGGUUGACGAAUCUGGGGAUGACCCAGAAUCGCAACCUCAGCCAAUUACUUAGCCAAAAGCUGGUUCCAACCAAAGAGCCCAACCCCAUCAAGCGAUACUACCGGAAGGCGGCCUACUUCCUAGAGGACAACUGGAAGCGAGUUUGGGUGCUGGUGCUCUGGGUUUCCAUCUGCGUCGACCUCUUCACAUGGAAGUUCAUCCAGUACCGGCGUUUUCUUCAUCAUUCUGUUCGUUGGUGAACUUGGUAAUUAAACGAGGAAACUGGGGGCAUUUCGAUAGUUCUAAUUUUUGGCUUUUCUCUGUCAAGUGCGAAUGGAAGAGACAAAGUAGAGAUGGAAGAUGGAAGGGAUCAUGAUGUGUAUAGAAGCUGAGAUUUUGGUAAAUCUUAUAGUGAUGAUGAUGUGUGUGUAAGGAGGACAUUUGCAUCGCUGGAAUCUUUGUAAUCUUUUUAUCUUUCUUUCUUUCUUUUUGGGUUUGAAGAAGGAGAAGAAGAGUGUGAUAUAAAUGUGAACCAGGACUUACAGUUUGCACCACCCAUUACUGUAUUCAGCAACCAGUUGCAGUGGCUUGGGAACGUAUGGACGUGCUCAAAGAACAUCAUUUCAUUGGUGAAUGGAUCGAUGAUUUGACGGGCGGUGGACCUUACUUUGACCACAAGUGGACCAGACUCAGGCUUCCGAAACCCCUCAAGAAGCUUAUUGGUUUCAUUGCGUUCUGGUACUCUGACCACCUGUUUGAUGCGAGCGCUUGAUUCGCGCCUUCAGGUCUGGCUAUAAGACAGUGAAGAUUUUGAAGUUGCCGUCUAUCCAGGAUAUGUGCUGUCACUCAAUGUGUCUAAACCCCAAGGAUUUGAGUACAGAAGUGGGCAAUAUAUCUUUGUCAACUAUUCAGUUGUUUCUUCUUUGCAAUGGCAUCCUUUCUCUAUCACACAACCAACCCCCGGAGAUGAUUAUCUGAGCAUUCAUAUUCGCACAUUAGGUUACUGGACAUCGUAGCUCAAAGCUGUAUUUGCUCAGCCCCGGCACAGGACUACAAAGAAUAUGAUGUCUUGCUCCUUGUUGGGGUGGGGAUUGGAGCCACACCACUGAUCAGUAUAGUUAAAGACGUUUUGAACAACAUCAAGCAACAGAACGACGUUGAGGAAGGUGCCGUAGAAGCUGGAUCCAA